AUCCUACACUAAUGGGACUUCAAAAAAGAUGUAUUUAUUGAGGGAAAAUGCAUAAAGCAAACACAGAGCCCACAGGGAAUAAUUUUUUAAAAUUCACCGUGACUUGUGGAAGUUUUCAAUGCAACUCUCAAUUACUGUCAGGUCAAUCAUAUUUUUAAAAUAAUAAAAACAUAGAUUUGGACAACACCAUUAACAGGCUUGAAUUAUGGGAUAUCUGUGGAACUGCAAGCUCAUUUAUUAAUAGAAAAUGUGCAUUCUCCUUAGGCACACAAGGAAUAUUGCCCAAAACACUGCUUACUAGCCUCAACAAGUCUCAAAUAACUUCUAUGGGAUGGACCAGUGUUCCCCUUUACAUACUUUGUCUGACAUUUUUUCCUGUCUGCUUUUAAAAUUUCUAUUUAUCACUGGGAUUGAGCGAUUUGAUUAUAAUGAGACAUGAUGUAAUUUUCUUCAAUGGUACUUGUGCUUGAGGUACAUUGAACUUCUUGCAUCUGUAGGUUACUAGUUUACAUCGAAUUUGGAAAAAAAUGUUGUCAUUAUUUUUCCAAACAUCUUUUUUAAUGCACUACCCUCAUUCCUCAUGUUUUCUUCUGUCCUUUGGGGACUUCAAUUAAACAUAUAUUAAGCCACUUGAAGUUGUCCCACAGAUCACAGAUAAUUUGGCUUAAAUUUUUUUAAAUCCUCUUUGCUUUUGGUUUCAUUUUGGAUAGUUUAUAUUGCCAUGGUUUCACAAUGAAUAAUCUUUUCUUCUUUAACAUCUAAUCUGCCAUUAAUCCCAUGCAGUGCAGUUCUCAUUUUAUACGUUCUAGCUUUCACCUCUAGAACAGUGAUCCAGAGUGUUGUUAUAUCUUCUGUGCCUCAAAUUAGCUUUUACAAUACGUGGAAUGUAGUUUUGAUAUUGUUUAAUGCCCUUGUGUCCGUUCUGGAUCAGUUUUAAUAGACUCAUUUGCCUCCUUAUGGCUCCUAUUUUCCCACUUGUUUGUGUGCCUAAUAUUUCUGAUUGGUUGUCAAAAAUUGUUGUCUUCUCUGGUGUUGGAUAUUUCUGUAGUCCUAUAAAUAUUCCUGAGGAUUUCACAGAACUGACAAAAGACAUGAAUCCACAGGUAUAUGAAGAGUUGAUUUAUGACGAGCUGCAUAAAUAAAAAGAAGAAAUCCACACCUGGGUAAACCUUAUUCAGGGAGGCAGAUAAGAUAAAAUCUUAUUCUGAGAUGCAGUUAUUUAAGAACAGAGUUUUAAAAUGUUUAUAGAUGUAAGGGGUAGAAGUGCAGAUUUCUUCCACGCAUAUAUUGCAUAGUGGUGACAUCUGGGCUUUUAGUGUACCCAUCGCCUGAAUAGUGAACAUUGUACUGAAGAAGUAAUUUUUCAACUCUCACCCCCUUCCACCCUCCCAUCUUUUGGAGUGUCCAGUGUCAUCUUAUUCCACUCCAUACGUCCAUGUGUAUACAUUGUUUAGCUCCCACUUAUACUUGAGAACAUGUGGUAUUUGACUUUUUGUUUCUGAGUUAUUUCACUCAGGAUAAUGGCCUCUAUCCAUGUUGCUCAAAAGAUAUGAUUUCAUUCUUUGUUAACGGACGGGUAGUAUUACCUUGUGUAUAUAUGCUACAUUUUCUUUAACCAGGCCUCCACUGAUGGAUGCUUAGGUUCAUCCAUUUUCUUUUCUGUUGUGAAUAGUAUUGUGAUAAACAUAAAGUGCAGGUGGUUUUUGAUAUAAUUAAUUCUUUCCCUUUGGGUAUAUACCGAGUAGUGGGGUUGCUGAACCAAAUAGUUGUUCUAUUUUUAGUUCUUUGAGAAAUCUCCAUACUGUUUUCCAGAAAGAUUACACUGAUUUACAUUCCCCCCAACAGUACUUCAGCAUUCCCCUUUCUCCACAUCUUCACUAAAAUCUCUUACUUUUAGACUUUAAUAAUAGCCAUUCUGACUUGUCUAAGAUGGUAUUGCAUUCAGAUUUUAAUUUGCCUUUCUCUGAUAAUUGGUGAUGUUGAGCAUUUUUUUCAUGUUUUUUGACCACUUUUGUGUCUUCUUUGUAAAAAUGGCUGUUCAUAUCCUUUGCCCACUUUUUAAUGGGCUUAUUUGGUUUGAGUUCCUUGUAGAUUGUGGAUAUUAGCCCUUUGUCAGAUGCAUAGUUUGCAAAUAUUUUCCCAUUCUGCAGGUUGUCUAUUUACCCUGUUGAUAGUUUCUUUUGCUGUGCAGAAGGUUUCUAGUUUAAGUUCCAUUUGUCUAUUUUUGUUUUUGUUGCAAUUGCUCUUGAGGACUUGUUCAUAAAUUCUUUGCCUAGGCCAAUGUCCAGAAGAAUUUUUCCUAAGUUUUCUUCUAGGAUUUUUAUAGUGUUUGGUCCUAUGUUUAGGUCUUCAAUCCCUCUUGAGUUAACUUUUGUAUAUGGUGAGAGGUAUUUGUCCAGUUUCAUUCUGCUGCAUAUGCCAAUCCACUUUUCCCAGCACCAUUUAUUGAAAAGGGUGUCAUUUCCUCAGUGUCAUUUCCUGAUUUUUAUUGACUUUGUGUCUUUAUUUCUGAGUCCUCUAUUCUGUUCCAUUAAUCUAGAUGUCUAUUUUUGUACUACUACCAUGCUGUUUUGGUUACCAUAC
This 2583-nucleotide long non-coding RNA is filed under the name Homo sapiens (human). RNAcentral's name for it is "HSALNT0324660". The record is from RNAcentral. Lineage: Eukaryota; Metazoa; Chordata; Mammalia; Primates; Hominidae.